RNAcentral lists this ribosomal RNA (503 nucleotides) under uncultured cf. Archaeosporaceae. RNAcentral describes it as "SSU rRNA". It matches the Rfam family "Eukaryotic small subunit ribosomal RNA", at positions 569 to 1078 of the family's 1831-position model. Lineage: Eukaryota; Fungi; Glomeromycota; Glomeromycetes; Diversisporales. The record is from RNAcentral.
AGCAGCCGCGGUAAUUCCAGCUCCAAUAGCGUAUAUUAAAGUUGUUGCAGUUAAAAAGCUCGUAGUUGAAUUUUAGGCCUGACCGGACGGUCCGUCUUUGGCGAGUACUGUUCUGUUGUCGGGUCUAUCCUUCUGGUGAGCCGGUAUGUCCUUUAUUGGGUGUGUCGGGGAACCAGGACCAUUACCUUGAAAAAAUUAGAGUGUUUAAAGCGGGCUUUUGCUUGAAUAGAUUAGCAUGGAAUAAUAGAAUAGGACGUUGGUUCUAUUUUGUUGGUCUAGGACCACCGUAAUGAUUAAUAGGGAUAGUUGGGGGCAUUAGUAUUCAAUUGUCAGAGGUGAAAUUCUUGGAUUUAUUGAAGACUAACUACUGCGAAAGCAUUUGCCAAGGAUGUUUUCAUUAAUCAAGAACGAAAGUUAGGGGAUCGAAGACGAUCAGAUACCGUCGUAGUCUUAACCAUAAACUAUGCCGACUAGGAAUCGGGCGACGUUAUUUUCAUGACUCG